Molecule: ribosomal RNA, 351 nt
Filed under: Triticum aestivum (bread wheat)
Lineage: Eukaryota; Viridiplantae; Streptophyta; Magnoliopsida; Poales; Poaceae
Description: partial small subunit ribosomal RNA
Source: RNAcentral
CUCCCCGUUAUCUCUUGGCCAUCUAACUUGUGGAAGGCCCCCAUGCCCUUGAAGAUAAAGAUCUUCGGUUGGCAGCUUCUUAGAAAUCGCCUCCCUUCGGGGACCGAGGUGCUCAAGCGACAGGGCCCGGGUGAUGGACUUUGCCCUUUAUGCAGGGUCCCUGAGACUAUGACCCACAUCAUAUUCUCAUGCACGGCAGCUCGGGUCCUUUGGCAGUUCAUCCGUGAGGCACUAAGGCCCGACUGGGAGGCCCUGGAUCUCGUGGACUUCCUCCAUGCCAGGACGACACUGCCGCAUAUUCUGGCUGAUCUUUGCGGCCAUGUCAUGGACUCUUUGGACGACAAGAAAUAA